RNAcentral lists this ribosomal RNA (429 nucleotides) under Pseudomonadota bacterium. RNAcentral describes it as "Proteobacteria bacterium partial 16S ribosomal RNA". It matches the Rfam family "Bacterial small subunit ribosomal RNA", at positions 355 to 776 of the family's 1533-position model. Lineage: Bacteria; Pseudomonadati; Pseudomonadota. The record is from RNAcentral.
UGGGGAAUAUUGGACAAUGGGCGAAAGCCUGAUCCAGCCAUGCCGCGUGUGUGAAGAAGGUCUUCGGAUUGUAAAGCACUGUAAGUUGGGAGGAAGGGCAGUAAGCGAAUACCUUGCUGUGUUGACGUUACUGACAGAAUAAGCACCGGCUAACUCGGUGCCAGCAGCCGCGGUAAUACAGAGGGUGCAAGCGUUAAUCGGAAUUACUGGGCGUAAAGCGCGCGUAGGUGGUUCGUUAAGUUGAAUGUGGAAGCCCCGGGCUCAACCUGGGAACUGCAUCCACGACUGGCGAGCUGGCGUAGAGCAGAGGGUGGUGGAAUUUCCUGUCUAGCGGUGAAAUGCGUAGAUAUGAGAAGGAACACCAGUGGCGAAGGCGACCCCCUGUGCUCAUACUGCCACUGAGGUGCGAAAGCGUGGGGAGCAAACAGG